ACAUCCAGAGAAUUUAGCAGAGAUGCUUUAGUGACCUUCGGGAACUCUGAGACAGGUGCUGCAUGGCUGUCGUCAGCUCGUGUUGUGAAAUGUUGGGUUAAGUCCCGNAACGAGCGCAACCCUUAUCCUUUGUUGCCAGCACGUAAUGGUGGGAACUCAAAGGAGACUGCCGGUGAUAAACCGGAGGAAGGUGGGGAUGACGUCAAGUCAUCAUGGCCCUUACGAGUAGGGCUACACACGUGCUACAAUGGCGCAUACAAAGAGAAGCGACCUCGCGAGAGCAAGCGGACCUCAUAAAGUGCGUCGUAGUCCGGAUUGGAGUCUGCAACUCGACUCCAUGAAGUCGGAAUCGCUAGUAAUUGUAAAUCAGAAUGUUACGGUGAAUACGUUCCCGGGCCUUGUACACACCGCCCGUCACACCAUGGGAGUGGGUUGCAAAAGAAGUAGAUAGCUUAACCUUCGGGAGGGCGUUUACCACUUUGUGAUUCAUGACUGGGGUGAAGUCGUAACAAGGUAAGCGUAGUGCU
Molecule: ribosomal RNA, 527 nt
Filed under: uncultured bacterium
Lineage: Bacteria
Description: bacterial SSU rRNA
Rfam family: Bacterial small subunit ribosomal RNA
Source: RNAcentral